GGGCAGAUACCCGAGUGGCCAAAGGGGUCAGACUGUAAAUCUGAUGGUUCACGCCUACAGUGGUUCGAAUCCACUUCUGCCCACCA
This 86-nucleotide transfer RNA is filed under the name Omnitrophica bacterium GWA2_41_15. RNAcentral's name for it is "tRNA-Tyr". It matches the Rfam family "tRNA". Rfam says of the family: Transfer RNA (tRNA) molecules are approximately 80 nucleotides in length. The record is from RNAcentral. Lineage: Bacteria; Pseudomonadati; Candidatus Omnitrophota. RNAcentral also lists the same sequence under 1 other name.